UACGGGGGGGGCAAGCGUUGUUCGGAAUUACUGGGCGUAAAGGGCUCGUAGGCGGCCAACUAAGUCAGACGUGAAAUCCCUCGGCUUAACCGGGGAACUGCGUCCGAUACUGGAGGGCUUGAGUGUGGGAGAGGGAUGCGGAAUUCCAGGUGUAGCGGUGAAAUGCGUAGAUAUCUGGAGGAACACCGGUGGCGAAGGCGGCAUCCUGGACCACGACUGACGCUGAGUGAGCGAAAGCCAGGGGAGCAAACGGG
RNAcentral lists this ribosomal RNA (254 nucleotides) under uncultured bacterium. RNAcentral describes it as "partial 16S ribosomal RNA". It matches the Rfam family "Bacterial small subunit ribosomal RNA", at positions 524 to 776 of the family's 1533-position model. The record is from RNAcentral.